This 465-nucleotide ribosomal RNA is filed under the name Vreelandella stevensii. Its description in RNAcentral is "partial 16S ribosomal RNA". It matches the Rfam family "Bacterial small subunit ribosomal RNA", at positions 338 to 795 of the family's 1533-position model. Lineage: Bacteria; Pseudomonadati; Pseudomonadota; Gammaproteobacteria; Oceanospirillales; Halomonadaceae. The record is from RNAcentral.
CCUACGGGAGGCUGCAGUGGGGAAUAUUGGACAAUGGGGGCAACCCUGAUCCAGCCAUGCCGCGUGUGUGAAGAAGGCCCUCGGGUUGUAAAGCACUUUCAGUGAGGAAGAACGCCUGGUGGUUAAUACCCAUCAGGAAAGACAUCACUCACAGAAGAAGCACCGGCUAUCUCCGUGCCAGCAGCCGCGGUAAUACGGAGGGUGCGAGCGUUAAUCGGAAUUACUGGGCGUAAAGCGCGCGUAGGUGGCUUGAUAAGCCGGUUGUGAAAGCCCCGGGCUCAACCUGGGAACGGCAUCCGGAACUGUCAAGCUAGAGUGCAGGAGAGGAAGGUAGAAUUCCCGGUGUAGCGGUGAAAUGCGUAGAGAUCGGGAGGAAUACCAGUGGCGAAGGCGGCCUUCUGGACUGACACUGACACUGAGGUGCGAAAGCGUGGGUAGCAAACAGGAUUAGAUACCCUAGUAGUC